Molecule: long non-coding RNA, 418 nt
Organism: Chenopodium quinoa (quinoa)
Lineage: Eukaryota; Viridiplantae; Streptophyta; Magnoliopsida; Caryophyllales; Amaranthaceae
Exons: 3
Source: RefSeq, a predicted model, not a curated record
AUGAAACAUAAGCUAUUCCAUCACACCUCCUACUUCUCUUCUUACUUUCCUUCUCCUUUCUCCUUCCUCCUCCAUUUUCACCUCCUUUUAAGCUUUCAUUUUGUAGUCUUGAGCUCCUCACGAGCACCUCCUCGCCGCCACCCUAUUACCACCAUUUGGCCGCCACCUUGCCGCCACCUCCUUCCUUGCGUUGCACCGAGGAAUUUCGGGUUCGAAAUUAGGAGUUCCGUACUUGUGUGCAAGGAUCAAGAUAGGUGAUGGCGAUCGGACAACGUGAACUAUAUGCUGCAUUGGGAAUUAUGGGCGGUGAUCACCUAGUUUAAUUUAGUAUACAUAGUAUUAGUGGUGUAACUAUUUUGAAAGUGUAUCAAACUAUUAUCAUUACUAUUAUUAUUAAUGAAAGUUAAAUACUAUUUUC